CCCGCAUCCCGAAUAUGUAUAUAUGGAACCAUGUCAAACUCAAUUACAUAUUCAUAUCAAUUAUCCAUCAAUCAACGAUGACUCUAAUGAUAAAAUAUUAUAAAUUCUUUCUAAUUUUUAUCCUACUUUGAUCAAAAAUUUCCUAAAUCAUUUAGAGAUGAUAAUAUAUAGGAUGACAUCUCCUCUUACAAGGAGUGAUCGAUUCCUUGUUGAUGUACUCAUAACCUCCAUGCACACUUCACCAUAUCCAAAAUAUUCUAUACGUAACUUAGUCAUGAAUG
This 281-nucleotide long non-coding RNA is filed under the name Elaeis guineensis (African oil palm). RNAcentral's name for it is "long non-coding RNA (EGUI_LNC024292)". Lineage: Eukaryota; Viridiplantae; Streptophyta; Magnoliopsida; Arecales; Arecaceae. The record is from RNAcentral.